RNAcentral lists this ribosomal RNA (1451 nucleotides) under Lactiplantibacillus plantarum. RNAcentral describes it as "bacterial SSU rRNA". It matches the Rfam family "Bacterial small subunit ribosomal RNA". The record is from RNAcentral. Lineage: Bacteria; Bacillati; Bacillota; Bacilli; Lactobacillales; Lactobacillaceae.
GUUGCCUAAUACAUGCAAGUCGAACGAACUCUGGUAUUGAUUGGUGCUUGCAUCAUGAUUUACAUUUGAGUGAGUGGCGAACUGGUGAGUAACACGUGGGAAACCUGCCCAGAAGCGGGGGAUAACACCUGGAAACAGAUGCUAAUACCGCAUAACAACUUGGACCGCAUGGUCCGAGUUUGAAAGAUGGCUUCGGCUAUCACUUUUGGAUGGUCCCGCGGCGUAUUAGCUAGAUGGUGGGGUAACGGCUCACCAUGGCAAUGAUACGUAGCCGACCUGAGAGGGUAAUCGGCCACAUUGGGACUGAGACACGGCCCAAACUCCUACGGGAGGCAGCAGUAGGGAAUCUUCCACAAUGGACGAAAGUCUGAUGGAGCAACGCCGCGUGAGUGAAGAAGGGUUUCGGCUCGUAAAACUCUGUUGUUAAAGAAGAACAUAUCUGAGAGUAACUGUUCAGGUAUUGACGGUAUUUAACCAGAAAGCCACGGCUAACUACGUGCCAGCAGCCGCGGUAAUACGUAGGUGGCAAGCGUUGUCCGGAUUUAUUGGGCGUAAAGCGAGCGCAGGCGGUUUUUUAAGUCUGAUGUGAAAGCCUUCGGCUCAACCGAAGAAGUGCAUCGGAAACUGGGAAACUUGAGUGCAGAAGAGGACAGUGGAACUCCAUGUGUAGCGGUGAAAUGCGUAGAUAUAUGGAAGAACACCAGUGGCGAAGGCGGCUGUCUGGUCUGUAACUGACGCUGAGGCUCGAAAGUAUGGGUAGCAAACAGGAUUAGAUACCCUGGUAGUCCAUACCGUAAACGAUGAAUGCUAAGUGUUGGAGGGUUUCCGCCCUUCAGUGCUGCAGCUAACGCAUUAAGCAUUCCGCCUGGGGAGUACGGCCGCAAGGCUGAAACUCAAAGGAAUUGACGGGGGCCCGCACAAGCGGUGGAGCAUGUGGUUUAAUUCGAAGCUACGCGAAGAACCUUACCAGGUCUUGACAUACUAUGCAAAUCUAAGAGAUUAGACGUUCCCUUCGGGGACAUGGAUACAGGUGGUGCAUGGUUGUCGUCAGCUCGUGUCGUGAGAUGUUGGGUUAAGUCCCGCAACGAGCGCAACCCUUAUUAUCAGUUGCCAGCAUUAAGUUGGGCACUCUGGUGAGACUGCCGGUGACAAACCGGAGGAAGGUGGGGAUGACGUCAAAUCAUCAUGCCCCUUAUGACCUGGGCUACACACGUGCUACAAUGGAUGGUACAACGAGUUGCGAACUCGCGAGAGUAAGCUAAUCUCUUAAAGCCAUUCUCAGUUCGGAUUGUAGGCUGCAACUCGCCUACAUGAAGUCGGAAUCGCUAGUAAUCGCGGAUCAGCAUGCCGCGGUGAAUACGUUCCCGGGCCUUGUACACACCGCCCGUCACACCAUGAGAGUUUGUAACACCCAAAGUCGGUGGGGUAACCUUUUAGGAACCAGCCGCCUU